Molecule: RNA transcript, 2132 nt
Organism: Mangifera indica (mango)
Lineage: Eukaryota; Viridiplantae; Streptophyta; Magnoliopsida; Sapindales; Anacardiaceae
Gene name: putative zinc finger protein CONSTANS-LIKE 11
Exons: 6
Source: RefSeq, a predicted model, not a curated record
AACUGAAUUGACUCCACAGUGUCGAACUUAAUUAAAAUCCUACAAAACACAACAAUUAGUUGUUUUUCAUGUUACACAUUUUGUGUUUGUUGGAUCUCCAUCUUAUCUCGCUUAAAGAACCCACCUAUAGUUUUUAAUGGGCAUUUCCUUUAUUGAUUUUGGCUGAUUCUGUAUCGAAUUUUGAUCAAUUCAGUGGCGGGAGUUCGGAGUUUUCGAUCUGUAAGUGCUUAAAAUGCCAUAAAAAUCUGAUACUGCGCUUAAUUUUGAUAUAAAAGAGAAGGGUGUUCGCUAUUUUUGUUGUGUUGGAUGGCUUGUUUAUGACUGUUGAAGGAUUACAGAGUUUGUCGUUUGAUUUUUGAGGAUUUAUUAAAGCCGAAUUCCCGCUAAAGAGAUUCAAGUUAAUUAGUUUAGUUUAAAGUUUAUAGAGGUAAUCGAUUAAGAGAGGGUGAAGAAUGGAACCCUUAUGUGAGUUUUGUGGGGUGGUCAGAGCUGUGGUUUAUUGUAAAUCAGACUCCGCAAGGCUUUGUUUGCAAUGCGAUGGGUGUGUACACUCUGCGAAUUUGUUGUCGCGCAGGCAUCCUCGUUCACUGUUAUGUGAUAAAUGUAAUUGUCAGCCCGCAGUGGCCCGGUGUAUGGACGAGAAAUUGUCUAUUUGUCAAGCGUGUGAUUGGAAUGGCAAUGGUUGCUCAAGUUUGGGGCACAGGUGUCAGGCAUUGGAGUGUUACACAGGGUGUCCUUCUUUGGCUGAGUUUAGAAGCAUUUGGUCUUCUGUUCUUGAUAUUCCUAAUUCGGGUAAUUCUGGGAUUAGUUGGGGGCCCCUUGAUUCCUUGCCACCAACUGACAAUUGUGGGAAUGAUUGUUUGGAGCAAAGAGAUAAUGAGGGGUCAUUUGAUUUGGAGACAAGCAAGUUGAAUGAAUUGGAGCCUUGGAUGCUGAAUUCUUCUAUGAUUCCACCACCGAAUCCAAAUUACAUGCCUUAUUGUAGUGAUCAAGCAGCUUUUUUCUCUGAGGAGUCCAAUGAGCCAAAGGGUUCUGACUUAAAAGAUCUUAAACUUCCAGAUGGUGAUGAUCUCUGUAAAGUCCUUAACAUGGAUGAUGUUCAGUUAGAUUUCGAAGCUGGUGAUGAGAUAUUUGGCUGUUCACAGGGUCAAUCUAGAUACCAAUUUGAAGAUGUAGGGACUGAUCGCACAUUAAUGGAGAAAAACUUAUCAGUUACCGAAUCUGACGGUCCCAUUGAGAAUGCUUUAGAGUUUUUUCAGGCAUCAUCAGCAGGGCAACGGGACUCCAUGCCCUUUCAAUCCUCUUGUGUUGGUGGGACUGCCAGCAUAAUGCAGUCCAUGGUUGGUAAUUCCAUUUGCAUAUUCCCUAAUACUAGUUGCAGCAGAAACAUCAAUCUUGGAUUUCCUGCUGGUCAAGUUCAUUCAAGCAUGUCGCUUUCAUUAUCCAACAUCACUGGUGAAAGUAAUGCAGCUGAUUAUCAAGAUUGUGGAUUGUCACCUGUGUUUCUACCUGGUGAAUCUCUGUGGGAACCAAAUCUAGAAGCUAGCUCCCCACAAGCAAGGGAUAAAGCAAAAAUGAGAUACAACGAGAAAAAGAAAACACGAACGUUUGGUAAACAAAUAAGAUAUGCCUCAAGAAAAGCCAGAGCUGAUACUAGAAAACGUGUGAAAGGUAGAUUUGUGAAGGCAGGUGAAGCAUACGACUAUGAUCCUCUUGUGACGAGAAACUUUUGAGCCACCAAAUCUGUCUAUUAGUUCGUAAGACAAGGAUAAAUUGAUAAGGUAUACUAUUCUUCUCUAACAUGUAUGGGGGUAAUUCUAAAUAGCUGAUUCAACAUUCCAUCUUCCUGAGGUAUUGGAAUGCGAGUCAUGUGACCAUUUGUAUUCGUAAUCCAGACAAAUUCCCUGUGAAUUUCUGUGGUCAUCUGCAAAUAUUAAGAGGGCAGGAUAAUUGGGAUUCUUGUGAUGGUGACUUAGCGUGUCUUUUUGCGCCAUAAAAAGAACAUCUAACAACAAUAUGACAUCGCCAGCUCAACUUCUGAAAUUGCUCUGCGUAUUUUCGCAUGUACUAUUUUAAACAGACGAAAGUUCUCACCACACAACCCUCUUUCUGAUGUGAUUCAAUAUUUGUCA